This 433-nucleotide ribosomal RNA is filed under the name uncultured bacterium. RNAcentral describes it as "partial 16S ribosomal RNA". It matches the Rfam family "Bacterial small subunit ribosomal RNA", at positions 29 to 507 of the family's 1533-position model. The record is from RNAcentral.
AACGAACGCUGGCGGCAUGCCUAACACAUGCAAGUCGAACGAACCCUUCGGGGUUAGUGGCGCACGGGUGCGUAACGCGUGGGAAUCUGCCCUUUGCUUCGGAAUAACUCAGGGAAACUUGUGCUAAUACCGGAUGAUGUCUUCGGACCAAAGAUUUAUCGGCAAGGGAUGAGCCCGCGUAGGAUUAGGUAGUUGGUGGGGUAAAGGCCUACCAAGCCGACGAUCCUUAGCUGGUCUGAGAGGAUGAUCAGCCACACUGGGACUGAGACACGGCCCAGACUCCUACGGGAGGCAGCAGUGGGGAAUAUUGGACAAUGGGCGCAAGCCUGAUCCAGCAAUGCCGCGUGAAUGAUGAAGGCCCUCGGGUCGUAAAGCUCUUUUACCAGGGAUGAUAAUGACAGUACCUGGAGAAUAAGCUCCGGCUAACUCCGUG